GCGGAGAUGGCUGAGCCUGGUCAAAGGCACUCGCCUCGAGAGCGAGAUCCCGAAAGGGAGCGUGGGUUCGAAUCCCACUCUCCGCG
This 86-nucleotide transfer RNA is filed under the name Candidatus Iainarchaeum sp. RNAcentral describes it as "tRNA-Ser". It matches the Rfam family "tRNA". From Rfam's summary of the family: Transfer RNA (tRNA) molecules are approximately 80 nucleotides in length. Their secondary structure includes four short double-helical elements and three loops (D, anti-codon, and T loops). Further hydrogen bonds mediate the characteristic L-shaped molecular structure. tRNAs have two regions of fundamental functional importance: the anti-codon, which is responsible for specific mRNA codon recognition, and the 3' end, to which the tRNAs corresponding amino acid is attached (by aminoacyl-tRNA synthetases). tRNAs cope with the degeneracy of the genetic code in two manners: having more than one tRNA (with a specific anti-codon) for a particular amino acid; and 'wobble' base-pairing, i.e. permitting non-standard base-pairing at the 3rd anti-codon position. The record is from RNAcentral. Lineage: Archaea; Nanobdellati; Candidatus Iainarchaeota; Candidatus Iainarchaeia; Candidatus Iainarchaeales; Candidatus Iainarchaeaceae.